GAGAUUUAUUAUGUGGAGGUAAUUAAAGCUAUAUUAUGUAUAAUGGGUGUUUUAUUAAUUAAGUAAAAUUAAUUAUAUUAAAUUAUAAAGAAAAGUAAUGUAAGUGAAUUUGGUAAAAUUUAGGAAAGGAGAUUUAAUUUAUCGUACCUUUUGUUUCAGGGAUUAUUAAAUUAUAUUUUUAGUAAAUAAGAAUUCUCGAAUUUGAAAGAGCUAGUAAUGUAUGGAGGUUAAUGUAUAAUAAUUAUCUCAAAUAGAUUAUUAGUGGAGAUAUUUUAGUCAUUUUUAAAGAUAUCUAGUUUUUUUUGACUAAAUUUAAUUUAGAUAGAAUAGUUAAAAAUAAUUUACAUUAAUAUAGUUAUUUUUACAUUCUGCGAAUAAUUUAUGGGAUAAACUAUAGAUUUUAUUAAAAUAUUUAGAUUGAGGAAAUUUUUUAGAAUAUUUAUGAAAUUUGAAAUUAAUAGAAAAAAUUUAAUAAUUUAUAAAAUUGAUUUAAUCAUUUAGAGAUUUAAUAAUUAUUAAAAUUUAAUAAGUAAAAAAAAUAUUAGUUGAAAUUAGUUUUAAUGAAUUAAUAAUGAUAGUAUUAGUAUAAAAAUAUUUUUGUAUAAGCAGUUUUAUAGGAGGAGAGAAUAUUAAUUUAAGGAAUUCGGCAAAUUUAUUAAGUUUCAACUGUUUAAUAAAAACAUAGCCUUUUGAUAAUAAUUUAAGGUUGUUUCUGCCCCCUGAGUAUUUUAAAUGGCCGCAGUAUUUUGACUGUGCUAAGGUAGCAUAAUCAGUUGUUUUUUAAUUGAAAACGUGUAUGAAAGAAUGAAUGAGAACUAGGCUGUCUCAAGUUAAAAAUUUAGAAUUUAUAUUUUAAGUAAAAAUUCUUAAAUAUUUUUAUGGGACGAGAAGACCCUAUAGAAUUUUAAAUAAAUUUUUUUAAAUUUUUUGUUAAUUGUGAUUUAGAAAUUUUAUUUUUAGUUGGGAGGAUGGUUAAAUUAUUAAAACUUUAAUUAGAUAAGGUUACUUUUGAGUAAUUUAAAGAAUGAUAAAAAUAUUAAAGAAGAAUUAAUUACCUUAGGGAUAACAGCGUAAUAUUUUUGGAAAGUUCUUAUUAAUAAAAAUGAUUGCGACCUCGAUGUUGAAUUAAGAUAAAAAUUAAGUGGAGAAGCUUAAUAUUUAAGUCUGUUCGACUUUUGAAAUCUUACAUGAUUUGAGUUUAGACCGGUGUGAGCCAGGUCGGUUUCUAUCUAUGAUAAAAUUAAAAAUAUUUGUACGAAAGGACUUUAUUUUUAUAAUAAUUAUUUAAAAAUUUUAAUAAAAUAUAAUUUGUGUAAUUAUUUUGGCAGAGUAGUGCAUUAAAUUUAGAAUUUAAUAUAAAAUAU
Molecule: ribosomal RNA, 1364 nt
Filed under: Stenamma impar
Lineage: Eukaryota; Metazoa; Arthropoda; Insecta; Hymenoptera; Formicidae
Description: 16S ribosomal RNA
Source: RNAcentral